GGCAUGCGUCUAUCUGCAGGUGAACGCUGAGGUUUGGUGUUUACACUAGACUGAUGAGUUGCGAACGGGUGAGUAACGCGUAGGUAACCUGCCUCAUAGCGGGGGAUAACUAUUGGAAACGAUAGCUAAUACCGCAUAAGAGUAAUUAACACAUGUUAGUUAUUUAAAAGGAGCAAUUGCUUCACUGUGAGAUGGACCUGCGUUGUAUUAGCUAGUUGGUGAGGUAAAGGCUCACCAAGGCGACGAUACAUAGCCGACCUGAGAGGGUGAUCGGCCACACUGGGACUGAGACACGGCCCAGACUCCUACGGGAGGCAGCAGUAGGGAAUCUUCGGCAAUGGACGGAAGUCUGACCGAGCAACGCCGCGUGAGUGAAGAAGGUUUUCGGAUCGUAAAGCUCUGUUGUUAGAGAAGAACGUUGGUAGGAGUGGAAAAUCUACCAAGUGACGGUAACUAACCAGAAAGGGACGGCUAACUACGUGCCAGCAGCCGCGGUAAUACGUAGGUCCCGAGCGUUGUCCGGAUUUAUUGGGCGUAAAGCGAGCGCAGGCGGUUCUUUAAGUCUGAAGUUAAAGGCAGUGGCUUAACCAUUGUACGCUUUGGAAACUGGAGGACUUGAGUGCACAAUGGGAGAGUGGAAUUCCAUGUGUAGCGGUGAAAUGCGUAGAUAUAUGGAGGAACACCGGUGGCGAAAGCGGCUCUCUGGUCUGUAACUGACGCUGAAGCUCGAAAGCGUGGGGAGCAACAGGAUUAGAUACCCUGGUAGUCCACGCCGUAAACGAUGAGUGCUAGGUGUUAGGCCCUUUUCGGGGCUUAGUGGCGCAGCUAACGCAUUAAGCACUCCGCCUG
This 849-nucleotide ribosomal RNA is filed under the name Streptococcus agalactiae. Its description in RNAcentral is "bacterial SSU rRNA". It matches the Rfam family "Bacterial small subunit ribosomal RNA", at positions 41 to 875 of the family's 1533-position model. The record is from RNAcentral. Lineage: Bacteria; Bacillati; Bacillota; Bacilli; Lactobacillales; Streptococcaceae.